Rhinolophus ferrumequinum (greater horseshoe bat) is the source of this 1186-nucleotide long non-coding RNA. RefSeq lists it as uncharacterized. The record is from RefSeq and is a predicted model, not a curated record. The transcript has 3 exons. NCBI's taxonomy places the organism in Eukaryota, Metazoa, Chordata, Mammalia, Chiroptera, Rhinolophidae.
GCUUCGCUGAAAUGCUGUGUUUGAAAUACAUGAACCAGGGCAGCCCUACUCCCAAACCCCUGUGCACGAGCCACGCGGCUCGAUGGCCUUACUUACCUCUCCUGCCUUUUCUGUAGAUAGCACAACACACACUGGUUGUACGAGGUGGGGUGCUAGUGGCACUCUCCUGGGCAAUGCCAGGCAAGAAGGCUGACAUGCAGCCCUUACUGCUGUGGCUACAUCUUCAGGACCUGUGGAUGGACGUCUGGCCAGCUGCUGCCCGGAAGGGAAAGGUCAUAGCCUUCUGAGGCCCCUCGAGUGUCAGGCAAUAAAUGCACACCUGCAUCUGUUCUGCCAGUGCCCAGUGCCCUCCUGGGGUGUGUAGGAUGGUCCCCUGGAGAAGCUUGGAAUGGAGGUUGAGCAAGCCACUGCAGAGCGUCUCCACAUGUACCCAGCUGGCUCUCUCCAUGUCGCCUCCUUUUGGUCUCUGGACGGGUAAGCACCUCCCUUGUUUGACUGCCAGGUCCUGUUCCAUGCUGGCUUCUGGGUUAAAUGUGGGCUCUGUAGUGAACUGUUUCCAGCCGAGCCACAUCUGUGCUGUGUCCCCUUUCCUCCCCGACCGCAGGCAUCUUCUCUGCUUGGGCACUUUCAUAUGGCUCUCCUGGCUGGCACAUCGUGAGUGUUCUCUCCAAACCUUCUCUACGGCAACUCACAAACAUUUAUUGGGUAAGAGUGGCUCCGAAACACCACAGUUCUCCAUGAUGCUACCCCUAACCUCCACUCUACUCAAGUAUUGUGUUUUUAUCAUCAUUACUAUUCUUUUACAGGAACUUCUUUCAGGGAGUCUCCUCAAUACCCACUUGCAGAUUGAAUGCAACUUUUGUCUGCAAGGAGUUUUCACUAUCAUUCUCAUAACAAUAAGUAUACUCUAAUUUGCAUCUACACUUGGGUCCUGAAAGCUCAGCUCUCCUGUCCCUUGUAGGGGCAGUGGGUGGUGUUGGGACGAAGAGUAGGUUCCAUGACGACUGCCUGGAGGGUGACACUGCAAAGAGUGACAGGAUGAGACAUCAGCAUGAAAGUGCCAGUUCCCACUUACCAGAAUGACAAGACAUCUUGCUGAUGCCUCCAACCAGCUAGGAAGUCUCUCCAGAGGAGGACAUGGUCAAGAUCAGGCUCUUCUCCAAAGAUACAGCUAAUUCCAAACAGC